UCUUGGGAUAUUUUCACAUGCCCGAAGCCGAUUCUCGGACUCGACAGUUUGCUGCCAUGGCCUUCCUAGCUUUGAGGAGUCUGCCUACAUUCAGAAGACAAUGCGACAUCCUGAGGAAGCCUUGGAGAGAGAUUGCUGCUAGCUGAAGGAGGCAAAUGGAAGCCCUGGCCAUAAGGCUGUUAUUGCGGGCUUUAAAAGAGAAGGCACCUGAUGGAGGUGAGUGCCUUAGAGCCCACUUGCUUGUGCUUUUCUUUUUCUUUUUCUUUUCUAUGGUACCAGAAUUCCAUGCUGACUCUUUUCCAAGACAUUUGCUAUUAACACCAAAUAGAAACCAAAAGCUAAACUUUUUUUUUUUUUUAAAGAGAGGUAUUUGCUUCCUCAUAUUAAGCAAAAAGACCCUAGAGUCUGGGUAGCUAUUGAUGGCUUUUUUUUUUUUCCAGUUGGAAGGGCAGGGCCACAAAGCAUGGCUACAGAACGCCUUGGCUUUUCUAAGGCAACACUGCCAUCAUGCGGAGAUAGUUUCAUAAAUUCCUUGUGCCUA
RNAcentral lists this long non-coding RNA (541 nucleotides) under Mus musculus (house mouse). Its description in RNAcentral is "alncRNA-EC26". The record is from RNAcentral. Lineage: Eukaryota; Metazoa; Chordata; Mammalia; Rodentia; Muridae.